GGCGAAUCGAACGCAAAAAUUAUGGGCCCAGUUUUUGAGAUCUAAAUGAAGUUCGAAAAUCGCCGUUAGGGGCGCUUGUGAUGAUUGGGAUACUAGAAAUACACAGCUUCUUAUGGCAAGAAUAACUAUUUUGUUAUAAAUUAUAGAGCCAAGUUAAUAUUUGGGCAUAUUUUUACCAGAGUUAGCUUUUAGAAACGUGGUUUUUCUAAUUGAGCAAUGUGCGUGGCUAAAAUUGUGAAUACAAAACCUUAAAUUUGAGUUUGAAAAUGCAUACACGACCGAAGAAACAUAUAAGCUGCUAAAAUAAAUCUUCCCUAGAACUGUUGUACAAAAAAGAUAGAAGUUCCAGCAACAAAUUUAUCACCAGUUCAACCUUUGAUUUGAUGUAAACAGUAAUUGUUUCUUGAUGAGAAAUGCGAAUGAAAUAGUUUAUGGUGUGAUUGUGUUAGUGUUUUAUUAAUAGUUUUGUUGAUGCAGUUUAAAGGUUCAUAGUUUUUCAUUAAAACAUUUGAAAUUGACAUGUUUACAUGCAGUUUAGUGUGAUACCAUUUUAAUAAACAUUAAAAUCUUUCGAACUAGUAGUGGUUUUAUGGCGAUUGACAGAUUGAAUAACGAAAAUUAAGAGUAUUUUAUCAGGAAUAACUUAAUCAUAAAUGGAAACUGAAGACGAACGUUACCAUUGCACCCUUUGAUCGGUGUUAUCUAUUCCAUAACUUUUUAUAGCUGAAACUAGAGAGUAGGUAUAUUGAGCUGAAACGUUUCCUGUGUUCAAUAGCGUUUUUUCUAGCGUUGAAUUGUAAGUUUUAAUGUCAUUAGCAAAGUUUUGCAAAUUGUCACUGUUUCGUAGACAAUUAAAUUCAAGAUAUAUUAUAUUCAAUGUCACCUAAUAAUUGUAAAGGUUUUUCUAUUGAUAUUCACUUUAUUAAUAUAAGGUAGGUUUGUAAAUAAAAUAUUAAUGAAUAAAUAAUGUACUCAGUUUAUUUCAAAAGCACAAAAAUACAGAGUUGUGAAUAUGUAUAUACGCUGACUUAUUUCAUCAUAUAAAUAUUUAUUUAGCAAUAUUAAUACAUUACAACUUUUGUUUCUAUUAACUAAUUCCACUAAAUUUAAUAAAUAAAAUAUACAAUAUAUAAAUUUAAUAUACAAUUUAGCACUUAGAUAUUAAAUAUCUAUAUGUACUAUGCCAAAAAAUAAAACAGGAACAUCAUAUUAUAUCAAGAACACAAAAAA
Sitophilus oryzae (rice weevil) is the source of this 1230-nucleotide long non-coding RNA. RefSeq lists it as uncharacterized. The transcript is spliced from 2 exons. NCBI's taxonomy places the organism in Eukaryota, Metazoa, Arthropoda, Insecta, Coleoptera, Curculionidae. The record is from RefSeq and is a predicted model, not a curated record.